This 307-nucleotide ribosomal RNA is filed under the name uncultured bacterium. RNAcentral describes it as "bacterial SSU rRNA". It matches the Rfam family "Bacterial small subunit ribosomal RNA", at positions 173 to 507 of the family's 1533-position model. The record is from RNAcentral.
UAAUAUCCAUCUCGUAUGGAUUAAAGCUUUAUGCGCUUUGGGAGGGGCCUGCGUAACAUUAGCUUGUUGGUGAGGUAAAAGCUCACCAAGGCUUCGAUGUUUAACUGGUUUGAGAGGAUGACCAGUCACACUGGGACUGAGAUACGGCCCAGACUCCUACGGGAGGCAGCAGUAAGGAAUCUUCCACAAUGGGGGCAACCCUGAUGGAGCAAUACCGCGUGCAGGAUGAAGCGUUUCGGCGUGUAAACUGCUUUUAUCACCGAAGAUUAUGACUGUAGGUGAAGAAUAAGGACCGGCUAACUACGUG